RNAcentral lists this transfer RNA (66 nucleotides) under Prosthiostomum siphunculus. Its description in RNAcentral is "tRNA-Glu". The record is from RNAcentral. Lineage: Eukaryota; Metazoa; Platyhelminthes; Polycladida; Prosthiostomidae.
UUUAGAGUCAUCCAAGGAGGAGACUAUCCUUUCUAGAUAGUCAAAGUAUAUAAAUACACUCUAAGU